RNAcentral lists this ribosomal RNA (253 nucleotides) under uncultured bacterium. Its description in RNAcentral is "partial 16S ribosomal RNA". It matches the Rfam family "Bacterial small subunit ribosomal RNA", at positions 524 to 776 of the family's 1533-position model. The record is from RNAcentral.
UACGGAGGGUGCGAGCGUUGUCCGGAAUCACUGGGCGUAAAGGGCGCGUAGGCGGUUGCGUAAGUCACUUGUGAAAUCCCGGGGCUCAACUCCGGGGCCGCAGGUGAGACUGCGUGACUAGAGCACGGUAGAGGCGAGUGGAAUUCCCGGUGUAGCGGUGGAAUGCGUAGAUAUCGGGAAGAACACCGGUGGCGAAGGCGGCUCGCUGGGCCGUUGCUGACGCUGAUGCGCGAAAGCGUGGGGAGCAAACAGG